RNAcentral lists this ribosomal RNA (253 nucleotides) under uncultured bacterium. Its description in RNAcentral is "partial 16S ribosomal RNA". It matches the Rfam family "Bacterial small subunit ribosomal RNA", at positions 524 to 776 of the family's 1533-position model. The record is from RNAcentral.
UACGUAGGGGGCAAGCGUUGUCCGGAAUCAUUGGGCGUAAAGCGCGUGUAGGCGGCUUGGUAAGUCUGCUCUGAAAGCCCGGGGCUCAACCCCGGGAGGCGGGUGGAUACUGUCAAGCUCGAGUCCGGAAGAGGAGUGUGGAAUUUCCGGUGUAGCGGUGAAAUGCGUAGAUAUCGGAAGGAACACCAGUGGCGAAAGCGGCUUCCUGGUCCAGCACCGACGUUCAGGCACGAAAGCGUGGGGAGCAAACAGG